RNAcentral lists this ribosomal RNA (763 nucleotides) under uncultured Streptococcus sp. RNAcentral's name for it is "bacterial SSU rRNA". It matches the Rfam family "Bacterial small subunit ribosomal RNA", at positions 28 to 776 of the family's 1533-position model. The record is from RNAcentral. Lineage: Bacteria; Bacillati; Bacillota; Bacilli; Lactobacillales; Streptococcaceae.
GACGAACGCUGGCGGCGUGCCUAAUACAUGCAAGUAGAACGCUGAAGGAGGAGCUUGCUUCUCCGGAUGAGUUGCGAACGGGUGAGUAACGCGUAGGUAACCUGCCUGGUAGUGGGGGAUAACUAUUGGAAACGAUAGCUAAUACCGCAUAAGAGUAGAUGUUGCAUGACAUUUGCUUAAAAGGUGCAAUUGCAUCACUACCAGAUGGACCUGCGUUGUAUUAGCUAGUUGGUGGGGUAACGGCUCACCAAGGCGACGAUACAUAGCCGACCUGAGAGGGUGAUCGGCCACACUGGGACUGAGACACGGCCCAGACUCCUACGGGAGGCAGCAGUAGGGAAUCUUCGGCAAUGGACGGAAGUCUGACCGAGCAACGCCGCGUGAGUGAAGAAGGUUUUCGGAUCGUAAAGCUCUGUUGUAAGAGAAGAACGAGUGUGAGAGUGGAAAGUUCACACUGUGACGGUAUCUUACCAGAAAGGGACGGCUAACUACGUGCCAGCAGCCGCGGUAAUACGUAGGUCCCGAGCGUUGUCCGGAUUUAUUGGGCGUAAAGCGAGCGCAGGCGGUUAGAUAAGUCUGAAGUUAAAGGCUGUGGCUUAACCAUAGUACGCUUUGGAAACUGUUUAACUUGAGUGCAAGAGGGGAGAGUGGAAUUCCAUGUGUAGCGGUGAAAUGCGUAGAUAUAUGGAGGAACACCGGUGGCGAAAGCGGCUCUCUGGCUUGUAACUGACGCUGAGGCUCGAAAGCGUGGGGAGCAAACAGG